UCUGAUGUAGCACGACGGGAAAUGCUUUGAAUACUUGCGACAUGGCCGCUCACAUUGAUUGCCAAGAUUGACAGCUCUGCAUCGUCUUCUCUUGUCUCUGAGAGAGAGGGAGAUAAAGAGGAUAGAUAACAACAAAAGCUCCUUGCAGUUUUGACAAUUAAACUUCAUAGAAAGAACGGGAUCCCCUCAUAUAGCCAGUGGGAACCACAGCAGACUUUAGUUCUCUUUCCUUUUCUCUACAGAUAGUAAUCGUUAUGUUUUAACGUAAUAUAGCGUGAAACACACGACUCGGGAUACGAUACCGUUAGGACCUGCAGCUCUCUUUUCUCGACUGAUCUGAAGGACUAUCUGCACGUGGACUUCAGAGGAACUUGUGGUUUUGCGAGAGAGAAAAACAUUUCCGAACUGGAUCCGGCAUAAAGAUAUCGACUCCCUGACGCAUAUGGUGCCAGUCACUUUCAUGAGUUCAAAAUCAACUAACCAGUGAUUGCUGGGUGCUGGGGAUUUAAUCUUUCUGUUCAUAUGGCCUGUGUGUGAUGUUCCAAAGACCUGCUCCACUCCCCUGUGCUCUUCUAUCAGCCAGACCUGACACACUCAUUCAUCUAAAUCCUAUGCAACUUGAAUCUACAUGUUUAACUCAUCCUAAAAUGAGGCGGUG
Molecule: long non-coding RNA, 658 nt
Organism: Oncorhynchus tshawytscha (Chinook salmon)
Lineage: Eukaryota; Metazoa; Chordata; Actinopteri; Salmoniformes; Salmonidae
Exons: 4
Source: RefSeq, a predicted model, not a curated record